UACGUAGGGUGCAAGCGUUAAUCGGAAUUACUGGGCGUAAAGCGUGCGCAGGCGGUUAUGUAAGACAGUUGUGAAAUCCCCGGGCUCAAUCUGGGAACUGCAUCUGUGACUGCAUAGCUAGAGUACGGUAGAGGGGGAUGGAAUUCCGCGUGUAGCAGUGAAAUGCGUAGAUAUGCGGAGGAACACCGAUGGCGAAGGCAAUCCCCUGGACCUGUACUGACGCUCAUGCAAGAAAGCGUGGGGAGCAAACAGG
RNAcentral lists this ribosomal RNA (253 nucleotides) under uncultured bacterium. Its description in RNAcentral is "partial 16S ribosomal RNA". It matches the Rfam family "Bacterial small subunit ribosomal RNA", at positions 524 to 776 of the family's 1533-position model. The record is from RNAcentral.